This 212-nucleotide long non-coding RNA is filed under the name Elaeis guineensis (African oil palm). RNAcentral describes it as "long non-coding RNA (EGUI_LNC047165)". The record is from RNAcentral. Lineage: Eukaryota; Viridiplantae; Streptophyta; Magnoliopsida; Arecales; Arecaceae.
GCGGCAUCCUAUUGUAGGGUUAGCCAAAAUAUCUUUGUUGGAUUACUUUACAAGCCAAUGAUCUACCCCUUAAAUAAUUAUCAUAAAUCCCUUCGUGGACCUCCUAAAGUGCAUAAUUUGUCUAGAUUAGCUACAGACAUCAAAGUAGAAGUAGCGAUAAUGACUUUUUACUUCUAAGUAAACAUACCAAUGGGCUUGAUGCUUGAUUCUCC